RNAcentral lists this ribosomal RNA (301 nucleotides) under uncultured bacterium. Its description in RNAcentral is "partial 16S ribosomal RNA". It matches the Rfam family "Bacterial small subunit ribosomal RNA", at positions 509 to 808 of the family's 1533-position model. The record is from RNAcentral.
CAGUCGCCCGGGAAUACAGAGGGUGCGAGCGUUAAUCGGAUUUACUGGGCGUAAAGCGUGCGUAGGCGGCUUCUUAAGUCGGAUGUGAAAUCCCUGAGCUUAACUUAGGAAUUGCAUUCGAUACUGGGAAGCUAGAGUAUGGGAGAGGAUGGUAGAAUUCCAGGUGUAGCGGUGAAAUGCGUAGAGAUCUGGAGGAAUACCGAUGGCGAAGGCAGCCAUCUGGCCUAAUACUGACGCUGAGGUACGAAAGCAUGGGGAGCAAACAGGAUUAGAUACCCCAGUAGUCCCUGUCUCUUAUACA